CCCACUGAGUAAGCUUCCUUUUCGAUGCUAUAUCUGCCACAUAAACCCUGCAAUCCAACCAAGCACGUGCGAAAUAAAUAAGAAAUCAAAGAAACACACCACUAAGAUAAAUAGAAGGAAGGAAAUCUUGCAUCCAUGGUGCUUGACUGAGUUUAGCAUUGUGAGACUCACAGGAGAUUAGCAGCGAUAAUAUCAUCAGUCCACUGCCUCCUCUCCAUGUUGCUUCCAUGGUCCUGUGGCCACGUGGGCAGCGAUUUCUGGUUGAGAAAGGGGGCUGCAGAAGCGCAGACAAAGGAUGCAGAGACCGCAUUGGCUACCGCCCCGAAACCGAGGCGGCCUCGGGGCGGUUUAGACUGCGAAGAAUGUGAUCCUCCGAAACCUCUCCGCAGGAUGACUGCCCGAGGAUGCC
RNAcentral lists this long non-coding RNA (409 nucleotides) under Triticum aestivum (bread wheat). RNAcentral describes it as "long non-coding RNA (TAES_LNC018967)". Lineage: Eukaryota; Viridiplantae; Streptophyta; Magnoliopsida; Poales; Poaceae. The record is from RNAcentral.